GGAUUAAUUUUAUACUCCGUUUAUCAUAUCACGUCCACCCCUGAAUAUUGGGCUUUACCUGCUUGGAACUUGGCCAAUAUCUUGACCGUGUGCCGUCUAAGUUGUGUCUAGCGAUCGCCGGUGAGAGAGCAAGUAGUGAGGUUUUUUGUGUGAAAGCCAGAAUUUCAGGUUGGAAGUAUUGACACACACUACUCGUCAUUUAAAAGUUUGGACCCUUCUUCAUUCAUACACAAGAUGUCAGAAAGGAUGGAUGACUGGAACCCACCUGAAUCAUUGAAGAGAAUAACUUGCAUCAUAAUGAUUCGUGCCAGCCAUCAAAAUAAGGAUAUUAUGACUGCUGCUCAAUGCUCCCUGAACACAGUAAAAACAAUCAGGCAUGAACUAGAGACUUGCAAUAGUGACUAUGAGGAUGUAGCAAGAAGAAAGAUCCCUAGCAGACGAUCUGAUUGCGUUUAUACAGCAGAAUUCCUCGCAAAUCUGCAGGAACAGGUGUUGAAGAACCCUGGCAUUGGAAUUCGGGCUUUGUCACGUGCUAAACACUGUAGUCAAGCCCUGGAUAACAAAGGUAGCCAAAGGUAGGCCGUAUGUAUGGCAGUAGGAUUUGGCCCCUUGCCACACCUCUGGGAAAAGUCAAAAAUGGUUGUUUGAAAUUUCUACGUUUUUCAAACUCCAAACUCCCCAGACCUUAACCCCAUGGAUUAUUUUGUAUGGGGUGCAGUUGAAGAAGACACCAAUCGCACUUCCAGUAAUAUAAAAGCCCAGUUAAUGGAUAAAAUUAAAACAGUUUUUGAGGCCCUUCCCAGGGAGACUGUAGCAUCAGCUUGUUCGAAGUUUCGAAGCAGGAAUGAAGCUGUGAUCGAUGCUAAUGGUGGUUAUUUUGAGUGAAUCUUGUUGAUACUAUUGUAAUUUACUCUGCCUGUAAUUUUUUUUGUCAAUUCAUUAAAUUUAAUAGAUGCAAAGCGGA
This 964-nucleotide unclassified non-coding RNA is filed under the name Stegodyphus dumicola. RNAcentral's name for it is "sIN3-HDAC complex-associated factor-like, transcript variant X1". Lineage: Eukaryota; Metazoa; Arthropoda; Arachnida; Araneae; Eresidae. The record is from RNAcentral.